This is a long non-coding RNA of Pan paniscus (pygmy chimpanzee), 1593 nucleotides long. Lineage: Eukaryota; Metazoa; Chordata; Mammalia; Primates; Hominidae. The record is from Ensembl.
AAGAAACAUAGAGAGGAGCCAGAAAGGGGUGUAUUUUGGUGACCUGACCUAAUUUUUCUGUGGAAGCUCAGAUCUAAAUGAAGAGUUAGUAUUGGCCAGGCAAAUGGCUCAAUGUUCUGGACACAAGCAAGGGCAUGCCCAGAGCCCAGCGGUAGGAGAGGAUAGGGCUUGGCACGUUGGAGGAUGACCAGGGGGCCGGUCCGGUGGGAUGUGGAGUGGGUGGAAGGGAGGCUGGAGGAGGUGGCACUAAAUUGGGGCUAACAGCGAUGGGCGAUUAUCAGAGAUUUUUAAGAAGGUAAAUGCUCUAAUAACAUUGACUUUUUUAAAACAGUUUGCCCCACUGUGUUUUAUUUACAGAGGUAUAAUUUGCAGUGAAGUGCACAAAUCGGUGAAAUUUUACGUAUGCAACCUUUAUCACUCACCACCCAAACCAGAGUGGUGUCUUCCCAACACCCCAGGGCCUCUAGUCCUUUUCCAGCGUUGCCUGAAGACACAAACUACUGAUGGCUGCAUCCACAUGACUGACUUCAAACACAGCACGCUGCACGAGAAAAGCCGGAUACGCGCGUGGAAAGUGGGUGGCUCCACCACCCUGCUGUUCAGCUUUAUCUGCUCUGAAGAACCGAGUAUAACUUCUAAAUUGUGCAACAGGCUUUGCUGCCUUUGGAGCUGAAGUAAGCGAUCUCUUCAUUAUAUAUUCAGGGACACAAAGAAGGCCGCAAGUCACUUUUUAGGAAAUGCGAGUACACUACUGGGUUCCUUUAGAGAAAUUAAGAGCAAGGUGAACGAUGGGUCAGCCGGGGUGAUCCUGAUCCGGGCUGUGGCAAGAACCCAGCAGGAGACAGUUGAUUGCGCUCUCCAGCUCUCCGGUGCUCUCCAGGCCUCGGCACAAUCUCCAGCGUUCCAGGCUUUGUCUUUCAGGAGCUGGACAGAGGUCCUCUGUAGAAAAACAACAUUCAGUCCUCCCAGGAGACAGCCUCUUCCCUUUUAGUUUCACGCUCCAAGCAGGCAGAGAGAACCAUAAACUUUUCCUUCCACAAAAGUAAUGAAACACGUGAGUGCGUAUUUAUCAGCUCCAUUUUAUUUUUGUGAAAACCUUGUCUUGUUACAUUUCAUAAAAUUUAGAAGUGCAGGAAGUGUUGGACAUUCUCUUGUUUGUUCCCCGACUUUGAUGUUCGGAAGUCAGAGAUCAAGAUGUGCUUGUCCGCAGGUGGCCAGUUAGCAGAUGGCCCCGGGCCCUGGUCUCCUACCUCCUGGUUAAACUAUCCUCCUACCUGGGGGCUUUGUUCAGCUCUGCUUCAUUUAGUGAAACGCUGACGUUGUAAGCCUGCUGUGGAGUGUGUGUUUAGGCAAAUAGGAGCUGUGCUGUCUGCACCAGGCCCAACGCCAUGUGGGUAAAGAAAGGGACCCGGUAUUAGGGAGGGAACUCCUGAAGUCUUUGUGCUCCACCAUCUUUUGAGUGAUUUUUCAGGGAAAGGCUGGGAGUAGUGGGGGGGGGACAAACGGGGAACUCUGCUGGUGACUUCAUGCUGUGUGGCCUGGGCUCGGAGUCCUGCCCUGGCAGCUGCAUUCUUUGUGGUGGAGUCUGCCUUA